Molecule: long non-coding RNA, 1553 nt
Organism: Carassius gibelio (silver crucian carp)
Lineage: Eukaryota; Metazoa; Chordata; Actinopteri; Cypriniformes; Cyprinidae
Exons: 4
Source: RefSeq, a predicted model, not a curated record
CAUUAAUAAUAUAAUGCCAUAUUUUUUAAUAGAUUAAAAAUAUAAAUAACAACUGUACAAAAGUUAACGUUCAUUAUUAUUAUUAUUAUUAUUAUUACUAUUGAUAUAAUAUGUUGUAUAUGUAGCCUACAUUGCGUGUUUGCAUAAAAGAGCAGGUUAAUCCUUUUUUGAACAGGUUUGUUGAAAAAUCCUUCUCGAAAGAAUCGUAUUUCCAAAGUACUGUCAACUGACCACAUCUUCUUCCGCUUGUCAAAAUAGUUCUGCUCAGUUUGGUGUUUUAUUACGGAUUUAUUCUCAUAGUACCGUUUCAUAAUUUGAUAUAAUAAUAUAAUAAUAUGCUGAUAUUAAAAUAAAAAAAAAUAAAAAAUGUAAUAUUCGAACUGAAGGAAUUCCCGCCCUAGCGCAAGGACACAUUCUCCUCCAAGCACGCAGUGGAGCUGCUGCGCGCGCAGAAGGAAUAACUCGACCUUCAGUUUCACGGUCAAUCUUCAAUCUGAGGCGAAAAUAAGCAGAUAAGUUCAGUGAGUGCUAAAACCAUGGUCAACAUGAAAGGUCAUAGUUAACGACCACAUCACCAUCUUCUGCAACGCUCUGAUGUUUGCUUCAUACAACUGCUUGAACAUUUCAUACCCAGGAAACCAAGGAGAAACGCAAGAGAUUGUGCAAAGAUUCCUUUUUAAGAUGAACCCCGAGAAGGGAUCGAAAGUGGAGAAGACCACAUCGAGAAAGAAAUCAGCAGUCAGUCCAAAGGUUCUUUCACUGAUUAACAAGAUUGCGGACUUUGAAAGGAUGGAGUAAAACUUGGAGUGUCAGAUCUUCCUACAUUGCCUAGCAGAAAUUCUUGACAGUGUCAAAGACUUAAAAUACUUGCUGAUUAUUUGCUUUCAUGGUUGAUUUUUUUUUUUUUUUAAUGCAUCAUCUGUUGUCAAGAUGAAUUAAUCUGUUCACAGGUGGUUCAGUUUUAAGGACAAAUUAAUUCUUAUUUUUUAUUUGUUUACCAAUUUGCUAUAUUGUUGCAGUUUUGAACAAUUCUUUUGUGUGUUGUUGCAGUUAUUAAAUAUAUAUAUAUAUAUAUAUAUAUAUAUAUAUAUGAAGAGUUCAGAUGCAAAAGCCUCUAAAUGCCAUCUGAAAUUUUCAUCUAAAAUUUGGAUUUUUAUCAGGCUCCUAUAUUUAUUUUCAGUUAUUUCACUUUAAUAGUCUGGCAAUGGACCUGCACAUUGCCAUUAAAGUAAAAUGACUCAACUUAAGCAUAGGAGCUUGAUAAAAAUCCCAAUUUUAGAUGAAAAUUUCAGAUGGCAUUUAGAGGCUUUUGCAUCUGAACUCUUCAUAUAUACUGUUGCAGUUAUGAAAAAAAACUGAAUUGUAUGUGGUUGCAGUUGUGAUCUAAUUUAAACUUUUGGGCUUAUUUUUUUAUUGGAAUAUUGUUGCAGUUUAGCUAUAAUCUCUAUACUGGUAUAUUGUUGCAGUUUUGUACAAAGAAUAUUAGUAAAUUGCAGUCCUGAACAAACUAUUUGUAUAUUCUUGCAGAUUGGUCAAUAAAUUAUUAAAACACA